AACGCGAAGAACCUUACCCAGGCUCGAAAUGUAAUGGACAAUACCAGAGAUGGUAUGUUCCGCAAGGACUGUUAUAUAGGUGCUGCAUGGCUGUCGUCAGCUCGUGCCGUGAGGUGUUGGGUUAAGUCCCGCAACGAGCGCAACCCUUAUCAUUAGUUGCCAACACGUAAGGUGGGGACUCUAAUGAGACUGCCUGGGUUAACCAGGAGGAAGGUGAGGAUGAUGUCAAGUCCGCAUGGCCUUUAUGUCUGGGGCUACACACGUGCUACAAUGGUCGGUACAGAAGGCAGCAAGACCGCAAGGUGGAGCAAAUCCGAAAAGCCGAUCUCAGUUCAGAUUGUAGUCUGCAACUCGACUACAUGAAGUUGGAAUUGCUAGUAAUGACGUGUCAGCAACAACGUCGUGAAUACGUUCCCGGGCCUUGUACACACCGAGACGUA
This 440-nucleotide ribosomal RNA is filed under the name uncultured bacterium. Its description in RNAcentral is "bacterial SSU rRNA". It matches the Rfam family "Bacterial small subunit ribosomal RNA", at positions 958 to 1398 of the family's 1533-position model. The record is from RNAcentral.